AACCUAUCUCCAUGUUGUUGAUGUUUGAACCAGGAUGUUCAUUCAGAGUCUACAUCCCCAGCCAUAUCCCCUCAACCCAUGUAUUCAAGCAGUUGUUUUUCUUCUGUGUUGCUACUCCCACAGUUUUCUCUCUGAAUGUGGAUAGUGUUCUUUCUCAUAGAUCCCGCCAAGUUGUUCAGGAUCACUGCACUGACACUAAUGGAGAAGUCCAUUACAUUCAAUUGUACCACAGUGUAUCAGUCUGUGUACAAUGUUUUCCUGGUUCUGCUCCUUUUGCUCUGCAUCACUUCCUGGAGGUUGUUCCAGUCUCCAUGGAAUCACUCCACUUUAUUAUUCCUUUUAGCACAAUAGUAUUCCAUCACCAACAUAUACCACAAUUUGUUCAGCCAUUCCCCAAUUGAAGGGCAUCCCCUCAUUUUCCAAUUUUUGGCCACCACAAAGAGUGCAGCUAUGAAUAUUCUUGUACAAGUCUUUUUCCUUAUUAUCUCUUUGGGGUACAGUCCCAGCAGUGCUAUGGCUAGAUCAAAGGGAAGACAGUCUUUAGUGCCCUUUGGGCAUAGUUCCAAAUUGCCCUCCAGAAUGGUUAGAUGAAUUCACAACCCCACCAACAAUGAAAUAAUGUCCCUACUAUGCCACAUCCCCUCCAGCAUUCAUUACUUUCCAUAGCUGUCAUGUUAGCCAAUCUGCUAGGUGUGAGGUGAUACCUCAGAGUUGUUUUGAUUUGCAUCUCUCUGAUUAUAAGAGAUUUAGAACACUUUUUCAUGUGCUUAUUAAUAGUUUUGAUUUCUUUAUCUGAAAACUGCCUAUUCAUGUCCCUUGCCCAUUUUUCAAUUGGAGAAUGGUUUGGUUUUUUGUAUAAUUGAUUUAGCUCUUUGUAAAUUUGAGUAAUUAAACCUUUGUCAGAGGUUUUUGUGAAGAUUGUUUCCCAAUUUGUUGUUUCCCUUCCGAUUUUAGUUACAUUGGUUUUGUUUGUACAAAAGCUUUUUAAUUUGAUGCAGUCAAAAUUAUUUAUUUUACAUUUUGUGACUCUUUCUAAGUCUUGCUUGGUUUUAAAGUCUUUCCCUUCCCAAAGGUCUGACAUGUAUACUAUUUUGUAUUUGCCCAAUUUACUUAUAGUUUCCUUCUUUAUGUUCAAGUCAUUCACCCAUUUUGAAUUUAUCUUGGUGUAGGGUGUGAGGUGUUGAUCCAAACCUAAUCUCUCCCACACUGUCUUCCAAUUUUCCCAGCAGUUUUUAUCGAAUAGUGGAUUUUUGUCCCAAAAGCUGGGAUCUUUGGGCUUAUCAUAUACUGUCUUGCUGAGGUCACUUGCCCCAAGUCUAUUCCACUGAUCCUCCUUUCUGUCUCUUAGCCAGUACCAAAUUGUUUUGAUGACCACUGCUUUGUAAUAUAGUUGGAGAUCUGGGAUUGCAUGGCCCCCUUCCUUUGUAUUUUUUUUUUUCAUUAUUUCCCUGGAUCUCCUGGAUCCUUUGUUCUCCAAAUGAACUUUGCUAUGUUUUUUUUUUUCUAAAUCAAUAAAGAAUUUUUUUGGAAGUUCA
RNAcentral lists this long non-coding RNA (1535 nucleotides) under Monodelphis domestica (gray short-tailed opossum). RNAcentral's name for it is "lncRNA (ENSMODG00000050720.1)". The record is from RNAcentral. Lineage: Eukaryota; Metazoa; Chordata; Mammalia; Didelphimorphia; Didelphidae.